GAAGGGGGCUAGCGUUGUUCGGAAUUACUGGGCGUAAAGCGCGCGUAGGCGGUUUUGCAAGCCAGAGGUGAAAUGCCUGAGCUCAACUUAGGAAUUGCCUUUGGGACUGCGAGGCUUUGAGGACUGGAGAGGUGAGUGGAAUUCCCAGUGUAGAGGUGAAAUUCGUAGAUAUUGGGAAGAACACCAGUGGCGAAGGCGGCUCACUGGCCAGUUUCUGACGCUGCAGCGCGAAAGCGUGGGGAUCAAACAGGAUUAGAUACCCUGGUAGUCCACGCUGUAAACGAUGAGUGCUAGGCGUCGGCACGCUUGCGUGUCGGUGCCGCAGCUAACGCGUGAAGCACUCCGCCUGGGGAGUACGGUCGCAAGAUUA
Molecule: ribosomal RNA, 370 nt
Filed under: uncultured bacterium
Lineage: Bacteria
Description: bacterial SSU rRNA
Rfam family: Bacterial small subunit ribosomal RNA
Source: RNAcentral